GGCAAACGCAUUAAGCAGUCCACCUGGGGAGUACGUUGGCAAGAAUGAAAAUCAAAGGAAUAGACGGGGACCCGCACAAGCGGCGGAGCAUGUGGUUUAAUUCGAAGCAACGCGGAGAACCUUACCCGCCCUUGACAUCCCCCUGAACAUGCAGUAGCUGGCAUGGCCCUUCGGGGCAGGGGAGACAGCUGGUGCAUGGUGGUCGUCAUCUGGUGUCGUGAGAUGUUGGGUUAAGUCCUGCAACGAGCGCAACCCCUGCCCCCAGUAGCCAGCGGCAUAGGCCGGGCAAUUUGGGGGGACCGCCGUGGACAACCCGGAGGAAGGCGGGGACGACGUCAAAUCAUCAUGCCCCUUAUGGGCUGGGCUACACACGUGCUACAAUGGCGCCGACAAAGGGAUGCGAAGCGGCGACGCGGAGCGAACCCCAGAAACGGCGCCCCAGUUCGGAUUGCAGUCUGCAACUCGGCUGCAUGAAGCCGGAAUCGCUAGUAAUCGCGGAUCAGGAUGCCGCGGUGAAUACGUUCCCGGGUCUUGUACACACCGCCCGUC
This 549-nucleotide ribosomal RNA is filed under the name uncultured bacterium. RNAcentral's name for it is "bacterial SSU rRNA". It matches the Rfam family "Bacterial small subunit ribosomal RNA", at positions 848 to 1398 of the family's 1533-position model. The record is from RNAcentral.